GCGCCAAAGCCUGGAUCCAGUGUUAAACCUUUCGUUUAACACACUGAUCUUCCCUCCUUGCGACACCGCGUCGGCGCCGAUCCAACAAACACGACGCUAGAGAAAAAAAACUCCUCCGAACCUCUCGAUCUUGCGCCAAUAACCAAGGGUAUCAAAAACGCGAACACGCUUUCUCACUCACGAAGACAUCAAGAAAAACGCCAUGGAAUCUACGCUCAACCUUAUCCUCAAAAUGAAAUCGAAACCGGAAAUGCGCUAUAUGCAUAUGUUGAGGGAAGACGUACCUUAACGUACGCAUCGUUAAUGCUCGCCGUUCUUCAAUCACCGUGUAUCGAAGCUGAAGGCAAAAAUUCCACUCGACUCGUCGUUACGUUGUGAUGAAGGAAGCGGAUUCUAUUCAAAUUGUCCUUGCGUUGUGACUCCAGAUUCGGUUCGACCUCGUUGCCAUCAGAUCGUAUGAAAGCCCCCACUUGUCAGUUUGGUCCAUAAGAUGCCAUGCUGUGAGGGCCACACAUUUGCUUGUUCUUAACAUGCUGAUGGUUUAUGCAGAAUGUUGUGGCAAUGAUUGUUCACUUACUCCAUGUUCUGUUUGGGGUGGCUUGCGCUUUUUGCAGCUGAGCAUCCAAUGGAUCUUGGUGGUUUAUAUUACUGACUUGAACUGAUCUAGCAGGUUCUCCUAACAUGCUCCGAUGUGGAUUACUUGCGGAUCAUGGCGUGGACUUAUUUCCAUCUUGUUUCAAGUUCUGUCCCUGGUUCUUUGUGAAAUGAAUUGCCUGGGCUGCAUCAUACUACGGGUAAGAAUCCUCGAUCCCGAACUUGGUUCAGUGUCUCUUUAGCUUAGCUCGUGUACUUGUGAACUGAUUUGGGUGUACUACUGUGAUGCGUGGUUUUCUGUCGAAUCAUUUUGUGGGUUGAAUCUGGUUCCGUUUGCUGGUUUGGGGAGGCCUUGAAGCUUGGUUUAGGAGCAGUAUGCAGGUUCUGGAAAGCGUCUUUUCUUCAACUCUGUUAGAACUUCCUUUCAUGCUUUUGUUGUGCGUAAUCGUUAUUGACUAAUAAUGAAUGACUUGGAAUAUCUGCAAGACGACGGUCUAUUACGUAUGGAAUCAGGUGCAGCGUUUUGACACGGUGGGGGCUUUGACACAGUCGUGAAGCGUACCCGGACUUGGAUGCGGCUUCAGACACCUUAUGAAUGCUUGGAUGGCCUUAGGUUCAAGCUUGAUUUGAAUGGUUGCACAUUGUACCUUUUUUGAAAUUGGCUGUUAUGAAUUGAUCCGAGUGGACUUGUUGUAGCUGGCGUUCAGUUGCCGUUGGGUAUUUGCGUUGCCGGAAGUGUGCUGCAGUUAUGCGUGCUUUUUGCGGUGGCUUGCGUUUUCACCUUGUUUCUUUUUGGUUUUGAUUGUGGUGUCGGAGCUUGGAUCUGCAACGUUUGUUGUUUCGCUUGGCCUUGCGUCUCGGUGGUUUGCAGCUGGUAUGUUGCUACGGUGGUAUGCAUCUUGCUCGUAGCUCCACAUGCGUUUUUCACUAUUGCGUGAAGGUAUUUGUAGUUUGUGUGGGUGCUUUGGCGUUUUGCUCUCAAACCUUGUCUCAUAGGGAUUUAAAGUUGUUCCUUUCUUGGGCUACGGAUCUCAGAGAUCAGUUGGCGUAGGUUGACAUUGUCUGUCUUGAGGGACUGCUUGUGCUUAAUUUCUGAUCAUCAUAUUUGAGUCAUGAAGGAAUAUGGAAUUCAUGAUUCUUGGACUAAAUUGUGCUCUAUUUCAUACCUGCAAGAUCCUAGUAAGUGUGAUAUCUUGUCUAAGGCAUUGCAUGUUUUUGACGAUGACAGACUACUUCUGGAAACUGUAACUCUAAAGGAUUGGAAAACGAAGGUGGUUGUUUACAAUCCAAAGAAUGAUACUUUUAAGGUUGCUAUGUUUAAAAACAUGCUAUAUGUCUGUCUUGAAAGUUUGAUUUCACCUUGCUUUUAAUGCUAGGAUGUAUCAUGUAGAUGCAAUGCUAUGCCACUUGAGCGUAUAUGUUAAUUUAUGUUUUUUAUUUUCUACUUGCUAGUUAUCAUUACCGGCUACUUGAUGGAUUAUUGUUAUAACUAAUAGUUGUCAAUCUAAACCUUGACAAAUUGUAAUUUUCAUUUAUACUCUACAUUCUCAUUCAUUUGAAGUUCAUAAUUUUCUUGAAAACACAUAAAACUACCAUUUCAAGAAUAAUAAUAAGGACUCCUUUCUUGAAUUUAGUUUUCCACAUGAUCUAAGUUAGUUGAUGGUGUAGAUACAUCAUCUCUUAUCAAUGGUGAAGGAGAAUAAGAAUAAAUAGAAGAUAUGGAAUUAUUUUCAAAUAUAUUUGAAAUUAUAUCUUCAUUGUGCUUCGCCCCUCGUCGCUAAAUCACACCAUUUUUGGAUUGUCUUAACAACUAUAUUGUGUUAGGUUUGAAGGGAUAGUAUUUAUAAAACUUUGACAAUCCUAACAUUACAUAAAGAGGUGAUUAUUUUCGAUAGAACUAAUAUUUGCGAUAGCAAUGUAUAUAGCAACAACUUAGAUAUGGUUCAUCUAUAUGUGUUCAACAUGAUAUUUGCGAUAGAACUAAUAUGUCUUCAACAUUGGAUCAUAUCUUUCUUGGUACCUCGAAGUGUUGUCGAAACUAUGUCACAUAGUUUGCAAGAGGUGCCAACUACAACGUCUUAGUAAUUUGUGGGGUGUCAGUGUUACCUCGAAGUGUAAACUGGAACACUUAGAUGGUUCGAAGACGAGGUGCAGAUGGUAGGAUUCCAGUCUGCACGUUAGAUUGGGGCGCAUCUUCAUCUGCAGCUAAGCCGGCUGGAUAUCCAGGAGGGCCGUACGAUACGUCUCUUUUGGUAAAGUACGAACAUCAUGUUGCUCGACCUUUAUGGUUCGGUGAGGAAAGAGGUCCAAAGAAAGAGUUGAAGGUUGCUGGACAUGGACUGAAGUUGACUUUUAGGGUUCCAUUGACUCUUCCACCACAGAUGGAGAGUUAGGUAUCUAGAUUUGGUUUAUCUUCACUUCAGAGAACCAGUCUGAACAAGAUAGACACAAAUCUUGUUUCUGCAUUUGCGGAAAGAUGGCAUCUAGAGACAUCUUCAUUUCACAUGCCGUUUGGUGAAAUGAACAUUACUUUGGUUGAUGUCUCAUGCCUGUUUCACUUGCCCAUCAGGGGUAUCUUCUGGAGUCCUCAGGAUGUGACGGAAGAGAUAGUUGUUGAACUUGCUGUUGACUAUCUAGGAGUGUCACAGGGUGAAGCACAAUCACAUGUUCGGAGCUGCAGGGGUUCGUAUUACAAGUUGGAGUGGUUAUACGAUUUAUUCGUACAACAUAGAGCUGCUUCCAGCUGGGCAUAUGCGACCAGAGCAUAUCUAUUGAUGUUGGUGGGUUCCAUCAUAUUUGCCGAUAAGACCUAGCACGAUACCUCCUACUGUUUACGGACUUGGAUAGAUGUUCAGGAUAUAGUUGGGGAGCAGCUGCACUAGUUACCCUAUACAGAUAUCUUGGAGAUGGGUCCAUGUACAGUUGCAAAUAGCUCGGUGGAUAUCCUACUCUCCUACAGUGUUGGAUUCACGAAUACUUUCCAACUGUUGGAAAAAGAGGAGAGAAUUGGAAAUCGUCUUUAUAGAGGCUGUUUGAAGUGGGGUGAAACAAUUGUUCCAUACUUGUCUGACAAAUGCUUACGUUAGUUCGGGUAUAGGCAGUAUGUUUCAUCCCCACCUCUUGAUUGUAUGAUGGCGACGGAUAUUGAUGUUGAUUGGAUUAGUUACCAUUAGAGUGUUAUCGCUGUGAUCGGUCCAUCUACCCUGGCCACCACUCCAUCUGAUGUAGAAGAUGGUUAUCUAGAGUGGUAUUAUUGUGUUUCGCAUCCACGGCUGGUCCCUCCCCAUCGUGACGAUCCAAGAGAGGUACCAGUUCCUGUAUAUGACGCCGGACCAUCUGAUCCUGAUUGGGCUCGUGUAUCUAUAUUGAUUCAUCGCUAUCUGAGACAGAUUAAUGCCGAAGAGGAAGAUCCACAAUUUGCUGAUUUAUUUGAAGCUUUGCAUAUUUCUCGUUCACAUUGAUUUAUGUAUUAAGUUUUAGAACUGAAUAUAAUAGACAUAAUAUAAAAUUCAUGUUUUGAUUA
This is an RNA transcript of Lathyrus oleraceus (garden pea), 4117 nucleotides long. RefSeq lists it as uncharacterized. The record is from RefSeq and is a predicted model, not a curated record. The transcript has 9 exons. Lineage: Eukaryota; Viridiplantae; Streptophyta; Magnoliopsida; Fabales; Fabaceae.